CGUGAGAUGUUGGGUUAAGUCCCGCAACGAGCGCAACCCUUGCCUUCAGUUACCAUCAUUAAGUUGGGGACUCUGGAGGGACCGCUGCGGUAACAACGCAGAGGAAGAUGGGGACGACGUCAAGUCAUCAUGGUCCUUAUGGCCGGGGCUACACACGUGCUACAAUGGCAGUUACAGAGGGAUGCGAUUCAGUAAUGAGGAGCGAAACUCAGAAAAGCUGCCGCAGUUCGGAUUGAGGUCUGCAACUCGGCCUCA
This 255-nucleotide ribosomal RNA is filed under the name uncultured bacterium. RNAcentral's name for it is "partial 16S ribosomal RNA". It matches the Rfam family "Bacterial small subunit ribosomal RNA", at positions 1066 to 1320 of the family's 1533-position model. The record is from RNAcentral.